Molecule: long non-coding RNA, 96 nt
Organism: Cervus elaphus (red deer)
Lineage: Eukaryota; Metazoa; Chordata; Mammalia; Artiodactyla; Cervidae
Exons: 3
Source: RefSeq, a predicted model, not a curated record
ACAUAUAUACAUAUAUCCCCUCCCAUUUGAAUCUCCCUCCGACCGACCUCCCCAUCCCACUCCUCUAGGUUGAUACAGAGCCCCUGUUUGAGUUUC